GCCCUCGUAGCUCAUGUGGAUAGAGCGCAGGAUUCCUAAUCCUGAGGUAGCAGGUUCGAGUCCUGCCGGGGGCGCCA
RNAcentral lists this transfer RNA (77 nucleotides) under Candidatus Sumerlaeota bacterium. Its description in RNAcentral is "tRNA-Arg". It matches the Rfam family "tRNA". From Rfam's summary of the family: Transfer RNA (tRNA) molecules are approximately 80 nucleotides in length. Their secondary structure includes four short double-helical elements and three loops (D, anti-codon, and T loops). Further hydrogen bonds mediate the characteristic L-shaped molecular structure. tRNAs have two regions of fundamental functional importance: the anti-codon, which is responsible for specific mRNA codon recognition, and the 3' end, to which the tRNAs corresponding amino acid is attached (by aminoacyl-tRNA synthetases). tRNAs cope with the degeneracy of the genetic code in two manners: having more than one tRNA (with a specific anti-codon) for a particular amino acid; and 'wobble' base-pairing, i.e. permitting non-standard base-pairing at the 3rd anti-codon position. The record is from RNAcentral. Lineage: Bacteria; Candidatus Sumerlaeota.